This is a long non-coding RNA of Bos indicus x Bos taurus (hybrid cattle), 1643 nucleotides long. The record is from Ensembl. NCBI's taxonomy places the organism in Eukaryota, Metazoa, Chordata, Mammalia, Artiodactyla, Bovidae.
UCCUCCGAGACUGGCUCAUCUCCCGCCCCUCCCUGCGUUUGAUCACCAGCAGGUCGGAGAAACGGCGGGUGGGGGACCUGGACCCAGUGCUGGAGGACUUCUUGGGCCUGGGGGUUGGGAACAGGACGAGUCCUCCCAGGAGUGGGAUGACUCUUCCUUGACCGAUGGGCAGGGUGAAGGCCACGCUUCCAGGGGUGGGCUCUCGACUUUGAUGGGCCUCCCUAGAUGUGGUGUCUCCUCCCCAGGCUGGACGUCUUCCUCCUUGAUGGAUGGGACAGGAAGCAGAGGAGAGAGUCCUUCCACGAGGAGUAGCUUCUCCUCUGUCACCUGUCCUGCCGUGGGCAGAGAGGCCACCCCCUCAUCCGCUAGCAGCACCUUGGGGGCGAUGCAGACUCGCUUGCUGUGGCGGGCAAGCUCUGAGAGUGAGGCCACCAGGGGCAAGGGCACCUUGACUGAGGGCUGCAGCACCAGUGACGGGUUCGCGGGGAACUGGAUGGGCACCAGGUACGAGCUGACCCGUAGCAGUAGUGGCUUCAUCUUCCGCCGUGCACCCAGGGGGAGUUCGGUUUUGAUGGCCACGUUCCGGCGGAGAUCAGGGUUGGGCCGUUUCUGCUGCUUAAAUACCUGGUCAAGUGUCAGGUAGCGAUUGGCACUGGGGUGAAUGGUCCAGAAGGAGACCUUGCCGUUGGCAGACGUCUCACAGACAAACAUGUCAUGUAGAGAGAAGUUGUGGCGGAUGGAGUUCUUCCAGCCUGGCUUGGCGAUGUGCUUGAAAUAGGGGAAGUGGUCCUUGAUCCAAGAGUAGAUGUCUUUCAGGGUCAUGCGCUUCCUCUCUGUGCUGUUGAUGGUGAAUUGUAUCAUGGCCAUGUAGGAGUAUGGGGGUCGUUCAGACACGGAGUCCGGCCAGGGUGCCGACGCUCCAGGGGGCCUCUCCACCUGAGGGCUCUUGGCCUGACUCUGCUCCAGGUGAAGAUUCUCCUUUUCUUCCACCUCUUGCUUGAUGCUGCAGGAGCCCAGCCCGUCGGAAGUCAUCUUUCCAAGCCACUGGAUGUUGGUCAAGCUGUUGUCCAGGGGGCAGCUGGCUGCCUCACCGCCAGCACAGUUCUUCCAUCUCUGCCCAGGAAGGGCUCCCGCUGGUCUUAGAAGAUUCUCAUCCCCAGUUGCAGACUUUGGUCCCAGGGUGAUCACUUCUGUCCUCUUGGGGUCCUUGCUGGUUUGGGCUUGACGCUGGGGUCCUGGAGGGGGAGUGGGGGCUCCCCCACAGCUGAUGAGGAUGAACUUGUUAGGCCCACUGCUGCCACUCUCCUUCCCUUUGGCGGUCAGUGCUGUGAUGAUGCUCUGGAUGUUGGCAUUGUUGGGGACGACCACCACUUGGGUGUUGGGCAUGGUUGGGUGGUUCAGGAUCUUGAUUCCGGCUGGAAACUUGCAGGGGUGGGGCUCUGCCACCUCCUUGGGGGCUUGUGCUUGAGCAGGCUCUUGUUGGGCAGGGGGCCCCUUCGGCUCCUCCUCUGCUGUGUCACCUGGAGCAUUUUGAACAGGAAGGGGCAGCCUCUGUCUUUUGAGAAUCAAUGGCCUACGGGGGCUAGUUUUCAUCAUGAAUCUGUGCUUUCACUCUCCAUUGAGCAUCACAAGCGUGGACCCAC